Non-coding RNA from Cinara cedri, 345 nucleotides. The record is from the annotation of a GenBank genome assembly. Lineage: Eukaryota; Metazoa; Arthropoda; Insecta; Hemiptera; Aphididae.
AAAAAAAAAUUCUUUAGUUUUUAUCAUAGGCUGUUUCGCGGUAAAUCUACAGAUAAAACGAUUUUUCGAUACGAAGUUUUGACGUUCAAAAACGCUUACGCUGACACCCUCUUAAACGCAACCAAAAAAUAAUAAUAUACCAAAAUCCUAUUAUUUUUUACUAUAACAAAAAAAACCUGUCUAAUAUUACGGUUAUUGCGGGACAUCAUCAUUAGAGCCGUUAAUAUUUAAAUUUAUGAAGUAUAAUAAUCAGUGAAUUUUGUCAUCGUUUUAUUAUUAUAGGUACACAAACGAAGCAAACAGUUGAUUUAGUAUAUUUAUCCCGAGGGAUUUUUUUUAUUGUUC